This 288-nucleotide unclassified non-coding RNA is filed under the name uncultured fungus. RNAcentral's name for it is "partial contains 5.8S ribosomal RNA, internal transcribed spacer 2, and large subunit ribosomal RNA". The stretch from base 1 to 52 matches the Rfam family "5.8S ribosomal RNA", at positions 103 to 154 of the family's 154-position model. Lineage: Eukaryota; Fungi. The record is from RNAcentral.
AACGCACCUUGCGCCCGUUGGUAUUCCGACGGGCAUGCCUGUUUGAGUGUCAUGAAUUAUCAAUCCCUCGGGUUUUGUAACGAAACCCGUUGGACUUAGACUUGGGUGUCUGCCGGGUUUAAACCGGCUCGCCUUAAAUGUGACAGGUGGUUGGCUCUUGACCCAGUGAUCAGCGUGAUAAGUCGUCGCUGGUUCCGUGGUCUUGAGCCCUGCCUCAUAAACCGUCCCUUUGGGGACAAAUUCAUUCGAUCUGACCUCAAAUCAGGUAGGACUGCCCGCUGAACUUAA